AGCUACUUUUUGGAAUCUUCAUUCUUAGAAAACCCUUUGUUACGAAAUAUGCUCAGGACUGGAAAGGAAACGAGGUUCAGUCAGCGAUACCCUCAGUGUGAACUCUGGAAUAGCAUUUCCUUUUGAAAGAUUCAUCCUCAUUUUGCUCCUGACUUCGUGCUGGUGUGUGAUGACUGUGUUUCCUGGGGAUUUCCAACCUGAGCAGUCAUCAGCCCAGGCCCAAGGACAGAGGACACCCACCCUGAGGACAGAGAUGGCUGUAUUGCUUGCAUGACCACUUCUGUCCCACAGUGGAAGACAAAGGGAAUCAAGAGGCUGUGCUUGUGUGACCCUGGCUCCUGAAGUUCUUCUGUGGCAUCGUGAUGAUUUUCUUAUGACUGGCUCCCCCACCGGACAGCUGUCUGGGCUCUUCAAAGACACCCCCAACACCUCCACCUCGCAUGACCCCCAUUGCUAGCUGUUUAGUGAAUGCAUGAAUGUACAUGUGAAUGACCUCUGAACUUUGAUCCAGGCCAGGGUGAGCUUCAGGUACAGGGAGAGAAGACAGCUGCCUCUGUGGUGUGAUCUGGGGGCUUCAAGAAGUUUCUUCACUCUGGUGCCACCUUCCUCGGAUCUUCCUUUUCUUUCCGUUUUAUUGAGAUACACUUAAGACACAGCAGUAAGUUAAAGAUGUACAGCAUAAUGAGUUGACUUACAUAUAUUAUGAAAUGAUCACCACAAUUAGUUAAAAUUUAUUAUCUCAUAUAGAGGCAAAAAAAAAAAAGGUUUGAAUGUUUUUCUAGUGCUGAGAACUUUUAGGAUUUAUACUUUCAUCAACUGUCCAACAUACACAACAGUGUUUGCCAAAAUCAUGGAGUCACACAUUAUAUCCCUGGUACUUAUUGAUCUUAUGACUGCAAGUUUGUGUCUUUCGACCACCUUCUCCAAAGACCACCCCCACGCCUCCUUCCUGGGUUAACCACAAAUCUCAUCUCUUUUUCUCUGAGUUUGGGGUUUCACUUUUGUCUCUUUUUAAAAUUCCAGAUGUAAGUGAAGAGGCCUAGAACCUAGAACCUACUGGUGUCUCAGCAAAUGGCUACACAGAAACAAGGUCCAGGAGAAUCGGCUCCCAGGGUUUCUAGAGCACACAGCAGUUUCAGGCAGCUGCCAGCCUGGGGUCUUCCCCACCCAGAGUUUCUGAAGGCUGCAUUUCGGUGGCCUCAGAGCUGAGAGGAAGGGAGCCAGGGACAGGGAGGGGUGGGGAGGAAGGCUUGUCUGUCCCAGUGAAGCCCCGUCCACCAAGGCCAGCUCCACUUCUGUUCUCACUGCCCAGCCUCCCAAGGACAAUGAAGGGGCUGCGCUGUGGGGAGAGGGGUGACUUGUCUCCUUUCCCAGCCAUCAAAUGAGGAAGCAGGGUCCACACCCUAACUCUCAGCCUCAAGGGAGUACAGGAUGUCCUAACACGUCCUGUAGAACGACUUAGUAAUUUUCCAGUUACUAAUUUGCCUUACCUGUUCUGUUCAAACAGGCUAAUUGUUUCCUCAAAAAGACUCAAGUGUAGUGGGAUGAGGUCACCAGAGACAUGCCUAAACAAUUACAAACUCUGGUCGUGGGCGCGCCAAGAGACUGGUAACCAGCUCCUCAGACAAUGUUGGUCUGAUGUUAUCUUUUCUAAAGCAAAUUCGGUGAGGAUGCGCCUCCUGGUGGUAAGAUGCGAUUCUGCCAGGCAGGAAGACCCCCCAAAGUGAUUCCUUCCCUGGAUAGAACAACUGGGCGUAGGUGCUGCUUUUGGAACGUUCUCUGUAAAGAACAUUACUGUUAUUUCUCAGUAACUAUUUAUUGAUUGAAAUAUGAAAUAAAUGUGAUUAAUAUAAUCCAUUCAUAAUUGUGAUCUCGGAAGGUGUGAAUUUUAAUCAAAGCAAAAAAUCUGCAAAGGCAGAAAACAGGGAAAAUUGAUCUAUGGUCUGAUAAGGAAAGAGAAUAUAAUUUUGAAAACUUCCAUAUACUUUCUGGCUUUUAUAUUGUGGGUAUUAUAUUCUCUAUUGACUUAGAACAAUUCCAUUUUUUUAUUACAAAAAAAUUCAAAUAUACCAAAAAAUAGAACAGUAAAUCCCCAUAUAGUCACUACCUAGGUUCCAGAGCUGUCAUGAUUUUGUCAUGCUCACUUUUUAUGACCCAUUAAAUGUUUCACCCUUAGAUAUUAUAGCCCCGACAUCAUGUUACAUUACCAUAAAUAUUUCAGUAUGCAUUUCUUUUUUUUCCCCUAAGAUUUUAUUUAUUUGUCAGAGAGAAAGAGAGAGAGGAGAAGCAGGGGGAGUAGCAGGCUCCCCACUGAGCAGGGAGCCUGAUGCAGGACUCAAUCUGAGGACCUUGGGAUCAUGACCUGAGCUGAAGGCAGCCAUCUGACAGAGUCACCCAGGCGUCCCUCAAUUGAUUUAUUUGUUUGAGAGAGAGUGCAAGCGCACAUAUGGGCAGAACGAGAGGGAGAGAGAAUCUCAACCAGACUCCCUGCAGAAUGUGGAGACUGAUGUGGGGCUGAUCCUACAACCCAUGAGAUCACGGCCUGAGCAAAAUCACAAGGUGGAUGCUCAAAUGUCUGAGUCAUCCAGGUGCCCCGAUUUGCUUUGAUCAAUAGUAUAUGACAGAUGUAAUAUACAAAUUCCAGAGUGGGGACCUUAAGGAACCUUGAGAUUUUGCCAUCACUCUCUUGGAACCUCUCUGUGCUGCAGAGAAGUUCACAAGCUUACUAGCUCACUAAGAGGCCACAAGGAAAAGAACUGAGGAGCCCAGUCAACAACUGAGGAGCCCAGUCAACAGCCAACGCCAACUGCCUGUUAAGCAAAUGAGACAUUUGGACUCUCUAUCCAACACUGCUCUGUCAAGAUGACUGCAGCUGUAAGAGUGGUCUUAGGAGAAACCUACAGAAUUGUGAGAAAUAAUAAAGCAUUACUGUUUUAAGUCA
This is a long non-coding RNA of Mustela lutreola (European mink), 2941 nucleotides long. RefSeq lists it as uncharacterized. The record is from RefSeq and is a predicted model, not a curated record. The transcript is spliced from 4 exons. Lineage: Eukaryota; Metazoa; Chordata; Mammalia; Carnivora; Mustelidae.